Molecule: long non-coding RNA, 525 nt
Organism: Xenopus tropicalis (tropical clawed frog)
Lineage: Eukaryota; Metazoa; Chordata; Amphibia; Anura; Pipidae
Exons: 3
Source: RefSeq, a predicted model, not a curated record
AUAUAAAAUAAAUGUGCAAUUUAUGUGCAAUAUUUAUAAAUCGUAAGUUUAGCACGGACAUUGGGAAGAGUAAUCAGAUGGGUUUUUUUCUGUCAUCCAGCAAACUCCAGGUCCCAAGCAUUCUGGAUAAGGGAUCCUGUUCCUGCAGAAGAGCCGCCCUCAGCCUUAUAAAGAACCCAAGCCUCCGCUGGCUGAUACUGGACCCCAAGUAGUGGUACCAACUGGACCCCUGGUUUAGAAUAUUAAGGGUUAAUGUACCUACCGUAGCCCAGCAGCAGGAGCAGCACCCCGGGCAGUGCCACAAGUCUCCCCAUUUCCCAGAGAGACAGCACUAACAGCUCCCCAGCAGCACCGGCACUCUCAUAACUGUCUCCUCCUCGCCCGGCCAGGUGCGGCCAAACGGAACAGGUGUAUUUCCUGUGCUCACCUGGAAGAGACCAGAGUGUGCAAUGUGGUUUUUCCUGCCUGACCCACUAAGCCUCCAAUCAGAACGCAGGACCAACCUGCCCGGCCACAAGCCCAGAC